UUAAUCAGUUAUUUUGUAAGUGAAUUUUAGUCUCUUUUUCGAAAGGUUGAGGCAACCACGCUCGUGCAACGACAAGAUGGAGUCUUCUGUCUUUAUUUUUUCUUCUGUCUCUAUUUUAUUGCUAUAUUUUUUACUUAUGCAUAAUUUACUCAUAAAACCUUAUUAUUUUCCAAGACGUCCUUUCUUAGUGCCUAGGACAGUUAGAAUUUCUUUUGUGGCCAAAAAAGGUUACAUCCAACAAAAAUGAGUGAAGUGGUAUGGGACAAAAAAACUCUCCAAAAGCGUCUAAGGAUAGCUAUAUUAUGGUUAAGUGCUGUGCUCAUUGACCUUAAAAAAGCUUUUGACACUGUUGAUCAUAAAAUUUUGUUAAAAAAACUAUGGUGUUUUGGCAUCAGAGAUGCUGCCUUUGGUUCGAGUCCUACUUAAAGGGCCGAAUGCAGCUGACUCUUGUAAACGACACAGGAUCAGAUCUGCUUCAUGAAGAUGCUUUUGGGGUGCCGCAGGGAUCUGUGUUGGGGUCCCUGCUCUUUCUUUUGUAUAUUGAUGACUUAAAAUCUGUCAUCAAUUCAAACUACCACCAUCUAUAUGCAGAUGAUACAAUAAUUAUUUCGUCUCAUAAAAACUUGUCUCCCAGGUCGAGUUAGAACUUUCGCAAGUCGACCUCUGGCUGAAUAAUAACAAAAUGACUAUUAAUACAGACAAAACUGAAACAAUCUUUUUCGGCAACCACAGCCAGUUAAAAAAAGUUGAGAACAAAACUAUCAACUAUAUGGGUAUUCCUUUGAAGAGGAGCGAAAAAGUUAAAUAUCUUGGGGUAACAUUUGAUCAAAAAAUGCAAUGGGAAAAGCACAUUAAUGACAUAAAUAGAAAAAUACUAAUUAAAUAUUCUAAAAUUAGAACAAUUGCAUCCUGUUUAACACCUCACACAAAAAACCUUUUAAUUAAUGCACUUGUCAUGCCAUAUUUCAACUACUGCUCCUCGGCAUGGGCUUGUGCCACCCAAGGUAGAUUGGGAAAACUAGAAAACCGAUUAAAAUGUGUCCGUACCUUUCUUGGGAAAGAGAGGGAAUAUUCAAUGAAUAAUUUACUCAUCAAAAACGAUGCCAUAUUAGUUUUCAAAGCCAUGAAUCACAUUGCUCCUGAUUACAUGCGCUCAAAAUUCCUUUUGACAAAAAACUGUCAUAAUCAUCAAACAAGAGGAGCUUCAAAAAACAGGUUCACACUUCCCUUGGUCAACACGGAAUUUGGCAAAAAAGCCUUCCCAUUUAGAGCUGCAAAAGUGUGGAAUAAUCUUCCAGACCAAGUGACCUGUGAUGGAAGUGUGCUUUCGUUUAAGACUUCCAUCUCUAAUGUAUUUGGCAAAUUCUAAUGGAGAUCACUUUUUAACUUUUUAAUUUUUGUUUUUUAUUCUUUUUCUUUUCAAUUUUCACAGAUUAUAAAUGUUACUAUGUUUGAUUGAGCUGAGGCAGUCUAAGGUUUAUCAUUUUUUGUUUCUUUUUUGUUCUAGUGGCCCCCAGUGGAAACAAUCCACUAACUAUAGGUUUUUGUGAUUUUCUGGGCUAGCCACUUUAAAUAUUUAUUAUUAUUAUUAUUAUUAUUAUUAUUAUUAUUAUUAUUAUUAUUAUUAUUAUUAUAAUGCAUAAGACAGAUGUGCAUAUUUUACAUAUGGCUAUCCUGGCAAAUACUGAGUUAAUUGUUAUGGUUCUGAAGCAACAACACAAAAGCAAACAACAACAAUGACAUAAUGUUAGAAGUAUAUUUCCCUUGUUUCAUGUCAUAACUACGCCCGAGUUUGGGGAAAGUGGGGGAUGUCAGGUUUGGUAUCAGGGGGGCCAAACCAGAUAGGUGUGUUUCCAUCCUUACCCUUAGUAAGACGUAUCUCAUGAAAAUGUCCGCGUAUCUCCUGGAAAUGCUAACUUUCCUGGGGUGUAACUCUCGUGGAAACACCUGCAUAUCUCGUGGAAACGCAAUCCUCUCAGCGAAUCUCGUGGAACGCAACCCUCUCAGCGAAUCUCGUGGAAAUGCCUACAUCUCAGCAAAUCUCGUGGAAAUGCCUACAUCUCUGCAACUCGCUUGGAAAUUGCUUACAUUUCAGCGAAUCUCGUGGAAUCGCCCACACCUCAGCAAAUCUCAUGGAAAUGCCUGUUAACAGUGCUUCUACCUCUGGACAAAAAACUUGACAAUCGCAAGUAGCCAAAUUUGGAUCACCAAGAAAACCUUGAAGCAAGAGCACUGGUGUAAGCAAGCACGCAUCUUUGAUGCCAAUUAAUCCCUUCAUCUUGCGUUGUAGAUUGUUGCAUGUUAUAUUUUGAGUAUCGUUGCGAGUUCUAGUUCAUUGUAGAAGAAACUCGGGGGGCUACAUCAAUUGGUAUCGUAUGCACUUGUCAUGUGUCGCAUGAUGGUCGAUUAUCAAGUUAACAUAUGGGUUGUGGUUGAUUGCAGGAUUAGUUAAUAUGGUGACAGUUGUGGACAAUAAUGCCAGUGAAGUGAUUGAUUUACAUAAAAGAAAAAUAUAUAUUAAAAGACUGAGUGGGUGGGCAAACGAAACUAUUAGCAAUAUGUGAUGAUGAAAACUAGUUGACUUUAGCUGCUCCCAUUUUAUAGGUAGGAAAGGCAAUCUCAGGGGCCUGGAUCUACAACAGUAUUGGUUAGUUACCUUACCUUACCACUUUAAAUAUUUAUUAUUAAUAUUAUUAUUAUUGUUGUUGUUGUUAUUGUUAUUAUUAUAAGGGCCCCUAGUGUUCAUGCCCUGUGACCGCCCUUUUCACUAGUCUACCAUUCUAGAUUUGGAAGAACAUUGGGUUUCUAAAGUAUAUCCUUCAAUCAUGCUAGUAGCCAUCGUUGUUGACACUUGAAUGCUGAAUGCAAUUAAAGCCAAGCCUCUCAACAAGGUAUAAGUACUUACUUCAGGAACGGCAAUUAACCUGUGGUGAACUGUUGGUCCACCACCAUGAAUAACACCAUGUCUAUUAUUUCAUCCCCAGGAGGUACCAUGGUUUAUUAAUGGAGUCACAGAGUAUGUUAUAUGCUCAUGUAUGUGUUGAGCAGACCUAAGUAGGACAUGUUACAAAUACCUGUUACAAAUACCUGCACACAUACACAAGUGGUUAAUAUUCCCCAAAGAAUAGGCAUUUCUAUGGUUGUUUUUCCUUUACUGAAAAUAGGGUUUUGAGCGCGAAAUUUAAUAAGAAACACAUGCAAAGCACAUGUAAACAAAACGACGAUGUAAACAAACUUGGGGGUGAAGCACGUCCAAAUAAAACGUUUGUAAUUUAUUGCAUCAACUCCAUUCAUAAUAUUCUCUGUGGAUGCGGGGGAAUUAACAAAACCAAGAGAUACAGUGGCUAUACUCCCACACCACAAGUGAACAAAGGGGCAGCCAACGGAUGUAAAGGGGUGGGUAAAUGAAGAACUCAUUUACUGUACACUCAACAGUGCACAGCAACAACCUAAAAGUGAAUACUCCAACAGGUACAUCCUGCUCUUCCAGAGUCUUGUCAACACUGACUGAAAAAAGGGUGUGUGCAUGUGAAGUAUACCAACUCCCUAAGGGAGGUAUCACCUAUGAAUUAUCUCGCAGGCAUAUAUUAAUGCAUGUACAUACACAUACAUUACAAUGAAAAGACACCUGUGUGUGCACUCCACCUUGGAGGAGACUCAAUGGUAGAGGUCACACCCACAGAUCAAAAACAACACAAUAUGGUGGACUGAACAGUAAACAAUACACAAGAUACAGCACACACAACAAUGGUGCAAUAAAUAUGGCACCAGCAUUCUCCACAGCUUCUAGUUGUUUAAGUUUUAUUGAAAAGGUGAAUUGGUUCAGAGCUUUCGAGACAGCUUUUGAAACAUCUGAAGUGUUUGCCAUGUUGAAAUGAAAUAAAUUAGAAGCACGAUUCAAAAAAUCGGUCUUACCAUAAUAAAAUAAUUGUGCUAUAGCAUAUACGCUUAUCUUAGUUCAAAGGACCAUGGAUCAACAUAUUUAUUUUCAGUUAUUGUGAAAUUGCUCUGUAAAAAAUCAACCAAUCACAACGAUGUAGUCAGAAUUUGACUGCAGGUCCGCCCUGUCUCUCUUCUUUGUUAGAGCGUACUAAAAAAAGCAGGGUAGAAAAAGUGGGACAACAACAGCAGGUUGGUUGGUUGUGUGCAUAUCUUAAUGUUGGUAAAAUUGGGAAAGAAUGAAGACUGUGUUACAAAGUUGAUCACAAAUAUUGCAUCAGUAAUACAAUUGCAUUAUAUUUGCGUCUGUGGCUUUAAACAAGAAGAAGCGAGUUUUGAUCUUCAUAAGCAAAGAAAAUGUCUG
RNA transcript from Hydractinia symbiolongicarpus, 4303 nucleotides. Lineage: Eukaryota; Metazoa; Cnidaria; Hydrozoa; Anthoathecata; Hydractiniidae. The record is from RefSeq and is a predicted model, not a curated record.